GACGAAGGGGGCUAGCGUUGUUCGGAAUUACUGGGCGUAAAGCGUGCGUAGGUGGUUGCCGUAGUCAGGUGUGAAAGCCUUGAGCUCAACUCAAGAAAUGCACUUGAUACUGGGCAGCUAGAGGACCGGAGAGGAUAGUGGAAUUCCCAGUGUAGUGGUGAAAUACGUAGAGAUUGGGAAGAACACCAGUGGCGAAGGCGGCUAUCUGGACGGUUUCUGACACUAAGACACGAAAGCGUGGGGAGCAAACAGG
Molecule: ribosomal RNA, 253 nt
Filed under: uncultured bacterium
Lineage: Bacteria
Description: partial 16S ribosomal RNA
Rfam family: Bacterial small subunit ribosomal RNA
Source: RNAcentral